UUUAUUCAUUCUUUAACUUUUCUUCAGAAUGAUCUGAUCAUGUUACAACACGGAUUGUUGUUGCUGUUGCUCUGUGUUGGUCGACUCAAAUCAACUGCUACCUUCCCACCUCCAAAUCCCAUCAUCUACAUUCCAAACUUGACCGGGGCGCUAUACGGAUCUUUGUUGAGAGUGAAGAUUGUGAUUCCCGACGUCCAGUUCUUGUGGUGGUUCGGCAUCUCAAGGGGGUCCUCUCCUGGCAGCUACCUCUCCUAGUACAGAAGAGUGGUAGUACUGGGACCAGUUUAAUAUCAGAAUAUAGAUUUGUAAAUAGAACUCUUUGCCCUGUAGGAAAAUAUAACAUAGCGUAUGAUACUUUAUUG
This is a long non-coding RNA of Eurytemora carolleeae, 362 nucleotides long. RefSeq lists it as uncharacterized. The transcript has 3 exons. Lineage: Eukaryota; Metazoa; Arthropoda; Copepoda; Calanoida; Temoridae. The record is from RefSeq and is a predicted model, not a curated record.